Molecule: non-coding RNA, 22 nt
Filed under: Arabidopsis thaliana (thale cress)
Lineage: Eukaryota; Viridiplantae; Streptophyta; Magnoliopsida; Brassicales; Brassicaceae
Source: RNAcentral
CCAACACUACCUUCUGUUAAAU